AAUCCGAGAAUUUCACCUCCCAGUGGGCUGACCUGAUUGUAGCUGCGGCGGGGCCGGGAAUGAAUCUGGUCGUGGCGUUCAUUGGGAUUAACGUCUACGUCAUCGGGUCGCGCUUGGAGCUGGAAUUACC
RNAcentral lists this unclassified non-coding RNA (130 nucleotides) under uncultured fungus. RNAcentral describes it as "sequence contains ITS1". The record is from RNAcentral. Lineage: Eukaryota; Fungi.